GUGCUCACUUCGGCAGCACAUAUACUAAAAUUGGAACGAUACAGAGAAGAUUAGCAUGGCCCCUGUGCAAGGAUAACAUAUCGAUAACAUUUAUUA
Molecule: small nuclear RNA, 96 nt
Filed under: Microcebus murinus (gray mouse lemur)
Lineage: Eukaryota; Metazoa; Chordata; Mammalia; Primates; Cheirogaleidae
Source: RNAcentral